This 253-nucleotide ribosomal RNA is filed under the name uncultured bacterium. Its description in RNAcentral is "partial 16S ribosomal RNA". It matches the Rfam family "Bacterial small subunit ribosomal RNA", at positions 524 to 776 of the family's 1533-position model. The record is from RNAcentral.
AACGUAGGAUCCGAGCGUUAUCCGAAUUCACUGGGCGUAAAGCGCGAGUAGGCGGCAUAGCAAGUUGGAUGUAAAAACUUCCGGCUCAACUGGGAGAGGACGUACAAUACUGCUAAGCUAGAGGACGGUAGAGGGAGGUGGAAUUCCCGGUGUAGUGGUGAAAUGCGUAGAUAUCGGGAGGAACACCAGAGGCGAAGGCGGCCUCCUGGACCGUAACUGACGCUGAGAAACGAAAGCUAGGGGAGCGAACGGG